RNAcentral lists this ribosomal RNA (546 nucleotides) under uncultured bacterium. RNAcentral describes it as "bacterial SSU rRNA". It matches the Rfam family "Bacterial small subunit ribosomal RNA", at positions 356 to 896 of the family's 1533-position model. The record is from RNAcentral.
GGGGAAUAUUGCGCAAUGGGGGCAACCCUGACGCAGCCAUGCCGCGUGAAUGAAGAAGGCCUUCGGGUUGUAAAGUUCUUUCGGUAUUGAGGAAGGUUGAUGUGUUAAUAGUACAUCAAAUUGACGUUAAAUACAGAAGAAGCACCGGCUAACUCCGUGCCAGCAGCCGCGGUAAUACGGAGGGUGCGAGCGUUAAUCGGAAUAACUGGGCGUAAAGGGCACGCAGGCGGUUAUUUAAGUGAGGUGUGAAAGCCCCGGGCUUAACCUGGGAAUUGCAUUUCAGACUGGGUAACUAGAGUACUUUAGGGAGGGGUAGAAUUCCACGUGUAGCGGUGAAAUGCGUAGAGAUGUGGAGGAAUACCGAAGGCGAAGGCAGCCCCUUGGGAAUGUACUGACGCUCAUGUGCGAAAGCGUGGGGAGCAAACAGGAUUAGAUACCCUGGUAGUCCACGCUGUAAACGCUGUCGAUUUGGGGGUUGGGGUUUAACUCUGGCGCCCGUAGCUAACGUGAUAAAUCGACCGCCUGGGGAGUACGGCCGCAAGGUUA